RNAcentral lists this ribosomal RNA (1085 nucleotides) under Pseudomonas syringae pv. actinidiae. Its description in RNAcentral is "partial 23S ribosomal RNA". It matches the Rfam family "Bacterial large subunit ribosomal RNA", at positions 1846 to 2925 of the family's 2925-position model. Lineage: Bacteria; Pseudomonadati; Pseudomonadota; Gammaproteobacteria; Pseudomonadales; Pseudomonadaceae. The record is from RNAcentral.
UAGGGGGGGACGCCUGCCCGGUGCCGGAAGGUUAAUUGAUGGGUUUAGCGCAAUCAAAGCUCUUGAUCGAAGCCCCGGUAAACGGCGGCCGUAACUAUAACGGUCCUAAGGUAGCGAAAUUCCUUGUCGGGUAAGUUCCGACCUGCACGAAUGGCGUAACGAUGGCGGCGCUGUCUCCACCCGAGACUCAGUGAAAUUGAAAUCGCUGUGAAGAUGCAGUGUAUCCGCGGCUAGACGGAAAGACCCCGUGAACCUUUACUAUAGCUUUGCACUGGACUUUGAAUUUGCUUGUGUAGGAUAGGUGGGAGGCUUUGAAGCGUGGACGCCAGUCUGCGUGGAGCCAACCUUGAAAUACCACCCUGGCAACUUUGAGGUUCUAACUCAGGUCCGUUAUCCGGAUCGAGGACAGUGUAUGGUGGGUAGUUUGACUGGGGCGGUCUCCUCCUAAAGAGUAACGGAGGAGUACGAAGGUGCGCUCAGACCGGUCGGAAAUCGGUCGUAGAGUAUAAAGGCAAAAGCGCGCUUGACUGCGAGACAGACACGUCGAGCAGGUACGAAAGUAGGUCUUAGUGAUCCGGUGGUUCUGUAUGGAAGGGCCAUCGCUCAACGGAUAAAAGGUACUCCGGGGAUAACAGGCUGAUACCGCCCAAGAGUUCAUAUCGACGGCGGUGUUUGGCACCUCGAUGUCGGCUCAUCACAUCCUGGGGCUGAAGCCGGUCCCAAGGGUAUGGCUGUUCGCCAUUUAAAGUGGUACGCGAGCUGGGUUUAGAACGUCGUGAGACAGUUCGGUCCCUAUCUGCCGUGGACGUUUGAGAUUUGAGAGGGGCUGCUCCUAGUACGAGAGGACCGGAGUGGACGAACCUCUGGUGUUCCGGUUGUCACGCCAGUGGCAUUGCCGGGUAGCUAUGUUCGGAAAAGAUAACCGCUGAAAGCAUCUAAGCGGGAAACUUGCCUCAAGAUGAGAUCUCACUGGAACCUUGAGUUCCCUGAAGGGCCGUCGAAGACUACGACGUUGAUAGGUUGGGUGUGUAAGCGCUGUGAGGCGUUGAGCUAACCAAUACUAAUUGCCCGUGAGGCUUGACCAU